AACGAACGCUGGCGGCAGGCCUAACACAUGCAAGUCGAGCGCCCCGCAAGGGGAGCGGCGGACGGGUGAGUAACGCGUGGGAAGAUGCCCUUUGCUACGGAAUAGUCUCGGGAAACUGGGGGUAAUACCGUAUACGCCCUUUGGGGGAAAGAUUUAUCGGCGAAGGAUUAGCCCGCGUUGGAUUAGGUAGUUGGUGGGGUAAUGGCCUACCAAGCCGACGAUCCAUAGCUGGUUUGAGAGGAUGAUCAGCCACACUGGGGCUGAGACACGGCCCAGACUCCUACGGGAGGCAGCAGUGGGUAAUCUUAGACAAUGGGGGCAACCCUGAUCGAGCCAUGCCGCGUGAGUGAUGAAGGCCUUAGGGUUGUAAAGCUCUUUCAGCUGGGAAGAUAAUGACGGUACCAGCAGAAGAAGCCCCGGCUAACUCCGUG
Molecule: ribosomal RNA, 431 nt
Filed under: uncultured bacterium
Lineage: Bacteria
Description: partial 16S ribosomal RNA
Rfam family: Bacterial small subunit ribosomal RNA
Source: RNAcentral